GACGAACGCUGGCGGCGUGCCUAAUACAUGCAAGUCGAACGCAUUUUCUUUCACCGUAGCUUGCUACACCGAAAGAAAAUGAGUGGCGAACGGGUGAGUAACACGUGGGUAACCUGCCCAUCAGCGGGGGAUAACACUUGGAAACAGGUGCUAAUACCGCAUCAUUCCAUUUACUGCAUGGUAGAUGGAUGAAAGGCGCUUUUGCGUCACUGAUGGAUGGACCCGCGGUGCAUUAGCUAGUUGGUGGGGUAACGGCCUACCAAGGCUGCGAUGCAUAGCCGACCUGAGAGGGUGAUCGGCCACACUGGGACUGAGACACGGCCCAGACUCCUACGGGAGGCAGCAGUAGGGAAUCUUCGGCAAUGGACGCAAGUCUGACCGAGCAACGCCGCGUGAGUGAAGAAGGUUUUCGGAUCGUAAAACUCUGUUGUUAGAAAAGAACAAGGAUGAGAGUGGAAAGUUCAUCCCUUGACGGUAUCUAACCAGAAAGCCACGGCUAACUACGUG
Molecule: ribosomal RNA, 507 nt
Filed under: uncultured bacterium
Lineage: Bacteria
Description: partial 16S ribosomal RNA
Rfam family: Bacterial small subunit ribosomal RNA
Source: RNAcentral